CAGGAUGAACGCUAGCGGCAGGCUUAACACAUGCUUUUCGAGGGGCAGCGAGUAGAUUGCUUGCAAUCUAUGUCGGCGACCGGCGCACGGGUGCGUAACGCGUAUGCAACCUACCCAUUACAGGGGGAUAACACUGAGAAAUCGGUACUAAUACCCCAUAACAUCCAGGGAGGCAUCUUCUUGGGUUGAAAACUCCGGUGGUAAUGGAUGGGCAUGCGUUGUAUUAGUUAGUUGGUGGGGUAACGGCUCACCAAGACAACGAUACAUAGGGGGACUGAGAGGUUAACCCCCCACAUUGGUACUGAGACACGGACCAAACUCCUACGGGAGGCAGCAGUGAGGAAUAUUGGUCAAUGGACGCAAGUCUGAACCAGCCAUGCCGCGUGCAGGAAGACGGCUCUAUGAGUUGUAAACUGCUUUUGUACGAGGGUAAACGCAGAUACGUGUAUCUGUCUGAAAGUAUCGUACGAAUAAGGAUCGGCUAACUCCGUGCCAGCAGCCGCGGUAAUACGGAGGAUUCAAGCGUUAUCCGGAUUUAUUGGGUUUAAAGGGUGCGUAGGCGGUCGGAUAAGUUAGAGGUGAAAUCCCGAGGCUCAACUUCGGAAUUGCCUCUGAUACUGUUCGGCUAGAGAGUAGUUGCGGUAGGCGGAAUGUAUGGUGUAGCGGUGAAAUGCUUAGAGAUCAUACAGAACACCGAAUGCGAAGGCAGCUUACCAAGCUACUUCUGACGUUGAGGCACGAAAGCGUGGGGAGCAAACAGGAUUAGAUACCCUGGUAGUCCACGCAGUAAACGAUGAUAACUCGUUGUCGGCGAUACAAUGUCGGUGACUAAGCGAAAGCGAUAAGUUAUCCACCUGGGGAGUACGUUCGCAAGAAUGAAACUCAAAGGAAUUGACGGGGGCCCGCACAAGCGGAGGAACAUGUGGUUUAAUUCGAUGAUACGCGAGGAACCUUACCCGGGCUUGAAAGUUAGUGACAGAUCUGGAAACAGGUCUUCCCUUCGGGGCACGAAACUAGGUGCUGCAUGGUUGUCGUCAGCUCGUGCCGUGAGGUGUCGGGUUAAGUCCCAUAACGAGCGCAACCCCUACCGUCAGUUGCCAGCAGGUCAAGCUGGGCACUCUGGCGGGACUGCCGGUGUAAGCCGAGAGGAAGGUGGGGAUGACGUCAAAUCAGCACGGCCCUUACGUCCGGGGCUACACACGUGUUACAAUGGCAGGUACAGAGGGCAGCUACCCAGCGAUGGGAUGCGAAUCUCGAAAGCCUGUCUCAGUUCGGAUUGGAGGCUGAAACCCGCCUCCAUGAAGUUGGAUUCGCUAGUAAUCGCGCAUCAGCCAUGGCGCGGU
Molecule: ribosomal RNA, 1343 nt
Filed under: uncultured bacterium
Lineage: Bacteria
Description: partial 16S ribosomal RNA
Rfam family: Bacterial small subunit ribosomal RNA
Source: RNAcentral